GACGAACGCUGGCGGCGUGCCUAAUACAUGCCAGUUGAGCGCUGAAGGUUGGUACUUGUACCAACUGGAUGAGCAGCGAACGGGUGAGUAACGCGUGGGGAAUCUGCCUUUUAGCGGGGGACAACAUUUGGAAACGAAUGCUAAUACCGCAUAAAAACUUUAAACACAAGUUUUAAGUUUGAAAGAUGCAAUUGCAUCACUCAAAGAUGAUCCCGCGUUUUAUUAGCUAGUUGGUGAGGUAAAGGCUCACCAAGGCGAUGAUACAUAGCCGACCUGAGAGGGUGGUCGGCCAAAAUGGGACUGAGACACGGCCCAAACUCCUACGGGAAGCAGCAGGAGGGAAUCUUCGGACAUGGACGAAAGGCUGACCGAGCAACGCCGCGUGAGUGAAGAAGGGUUUCGGAUCGUAAAACUCUGUUGGUAGAGAAGAACGUUGGUGAGAGUGGAAAGCUCAUCAAGUGACGGUAACUACCCAGAAAGGGACGGCUAACUACGUG
Molecule: ribosomal RNA, 497 nt
Filed under: uncultured bacterium
Lineage: Bacteria
Description: partial 16S ribosomal RNA
Rfam family: Bacterial small subunit ribosomal RNA
Source: RNAcentral